AACGAACGCUGGCGGCAUGCCUAACACAUGCAAGUCGAACGAGACCUUCGGGUCUAGUGGCGCACGGGUGCGUAACGCGUGGGAACCUGCCCUUAGGUUCGGAAUAACUCCCCGAAAGGGGUGCUAAUACCGGAUAAUGUCUUCGGACCAAAGAUUUAUCGCCUUUGGAUGGGCCCGCGUUGGAUUAGCUAGUUGGUAGGGUAAAAGCCUACCAAGGCGACGAUCCAUAGCUGGUCUGAGAGGAUGAUCAGCCACACUGGGACUGAGACACGGCCCAGACUCCUACGGGAGGCAACAGUGGGGAAUAUUGGACAAUGGGCGAAAGCCUGAUCCAGCAAUGCCGCGUGAGUGAUGAAGGCCGUAGGGUUGUAAAGCUCUUUUACCCGGGAUGAUAAUGACAGUACCGGGAGAAUAAGCGCCGGCUAACUCCGUG
This 433-nucleotide ribosomal RNA is filed under the name uncultured bacterium. RNAcentral's name for it is "partial 16S ribosomal RNA". It matches the Rfam family "Bacterial small subunit ribosomal RNA", at positions 29 to 507 of the family's 1533-position model. The record is from RNAcentral.